CCCUUAGAUGUUCUGGGCUGCACGCGCGCUACACUGAUGCACUCAACGAGUUUACGACCUUGCCCGAUAGGGUUGGGUAAUCUUUUUAAAAUGCAUCGUGAUGGGGAUAGAUUAUUGCAAUUAUUAAUCUUCAACGAGGAAUUCCUAGUAAGCGCGAGUCAUCAGCUCGUGCUGAUUACGUCCCUGCCCUUUGUACACACCGCCCGUCGCUCCUACCGAUUGAGCGCUCAGGUGAAUAAUUCGGACUGCAGCAAUGUUUGGAUCCCGAACGUUGCAGCGGAAAGUUUAGUGAACCUUAUCACUUAGAGGAAGGAGAAGUCGUAACA
This 326-nucleotide ribosomal RNA is filed under the name uncultured eukaryote. RNAcentral describes it as "partial 18S ribosomal RNA". It matches the Rfam family "Eukaryotic small subunit ribosomal RNA", at positions 1470 to 1796 of the family's 1831-position model. The record is from RNAcentral.